Molecule: RNase P RNA, 534 nt
Filed under: Planctomycetota bacterium
Lineage: Bacteria; Pseudomonadati; Planctomycetota
Description: RNase P RNA component class A
Rfam family: Bacterial RNase P class A
About the family: Ribonuclease P (RNase P) is a ubiquitous endoribonuclease, found in archaea, bacteria and eukarya as well as chloroplasts and mitochondria.
Source: RNAcentral
GGAGUGGGCGAAGGCGAUCGUCCGUACUCCUUAGGGAAGUACGGGAGGAAAGUCCGAACUGGGCAGGGCACGGUGGUUGGUAACGCCAACCCGGCGUGAGCCGAGGGAAAGUGCCACAGAAAAGACACCGCCGGACAACCGUCGAAAAUCAGAAUUGUCAAGGUCCCAAGUCUUGACUUUUCGACUUGUUGACGUUUAUUCCGGUAAGGGUGAAAUGGUGCGGUAAGAGCGCACCGCGCAGCCGGUGACGGUUGCGGCAGGGUAAACCCCACCGCCAGCAAGCCCAAAUAGGCAGCGAGAGGCGGCCCGCCUCGUGAGUGCGGAGAGGCGAAUUCUGAACUCAGGAUUCCGCCUUCUGAAUUCUAAAGCUGCGGGUAGGGUGCUCGAGCCGGCGGGCGACCGUCGGCCUAGAUGAAUGAUCGCCCAACCGCGGGCGGAAUGGAGGACGGACCGGCGCGUCGGACCUGUCUGACGUGGUUCAUUCGACGUUCGCUUCGCGGGGGACAGAAUUCGGCUUAUCCGCCCACUCCAUCG